CAACUUUAUUAGAAGAGACGCAUUUAUUAGAUAAAAAGCCAGUUCAUGCUUUUACAGUAUGAAAAUUGGUGAUUUAUAAUAACUUAGCAAAUCGCAAAGUGAAAACAGGCGAUAAAUCAUUCAAGUUUCUGACCUAUCAGCUUUCGACGGUAUGGUAUUGGCUUACCGUGGCAGUGACGGUUAACGGGGGAUUAGGGUUCGAUUCCGGAGAGGGAGCCUGAGAAACGGCUACCACAUCUAAGGAAGGCAGCAGGCGCGCAAAUUACCCAAUUCUAACAGUUUGAGAGAGGUAGUAACAAGAAAUAACAAUACAAGGCAGUUAAAAUGCUUUGUAAUUGGAAUGAUAGAAAUUUAAACCCUUUUUAAAGUAUCAAUUGGAGGGCAAGUCUGGUGCCAGCAGCCGCGGUAAUUCCAGCUCCAAUAGCGUAUAUUAAAAUUGUUGCAGUUAAAAAGCUCGUAGUUGAAGUUCUGCUGAAAGUAACCGGUCUGCUUUUAAUAAAAGUGGUAUCUUGGUAUGUAUUUAGCAAUGAUGUCCUUUGAAGUGUUUUUUACUUUAUUGUAAUAAAGCAUAUUCAGGACUUUUACUUGAGAAAAUUAGAG
Molecule: ribosomal RNA, 600 nt
Filed under: Hepatozoon canis
Lineage: Eukaryota; Apicomplexa; Hepatozoidae
Description: bacterial SSU rRNA
Rfam family: Eukaryotic small subunit ribosomal RNA
Source: RNAcentral